Long non-coding RNA from Acipenser ruthenus (sterlet), 824 nucleotides. RefSeq lists it as uncharacterized. NCBI's taxonomy places the organism in Eukaryota, Metazoa, Chordata, Actinopteri, Acipenseriformes, Acipenseridae. The transcript is spliced from 2 exons. The record is from RefSeq and is a predicted model, not a curated record.
UCUAAAACCACUGCAUGACUGAUAAUGCUUCACAGGGAUGCUCCAACCCUGUGCUCACAGUUCACUUUGCAUGAACUACAAUUUUAGAUGGAGGCAAAUGUUCAACUUUAUGGCAGUUGUAGUAUAUGGCUUUGGUGUCGCAUGUUGCAAGGUAAUGACUUGGGAGUGACUUUAUUGACACUGGAGUUGCAUUACCUCACCACACCACAGCAAUGACAUUGCAUCUUAAAUAUGCCAGGGCUUACAAAUUACUUUUUGCAAUCCUGUUCUGUGCUUGAAACCCACAUGCUCUUUUCAUUGCACUUCCUCCCUUUCCAGGUGCAUGGUGGACAGCAAGUAUGAAACCUGUAGCUCCCAUUUUGUGCCUCCCAGAACCAACAAUACAAUCAAUUUAAUUGUUGAUGCUUUCCAGUUCAACACGCUGUCCCCUCUGGUAAACCAGUACUACAUGCACUGCACAAUGGUGGUAACGAGCAACAGCAUGGUAACGCAGAGUACCAAAUCUUGCCACUAUGAUAAGAACGUGAACAGGUAGGUUCCAUUUAAGGGUUAAAGGUAUCGCUCCAUUGCAUGUCUUGGGUAGUGCAAGAUGAAGGCAACCAUUAAUGAUGUGUCAAUUUUCUAGAACUAAAGAUUUGGUUUCCAUAGUUCUGGGAGGGUGGCAUUCCAAUGAGGCACCAUGCUCUUUCUAGGAGCAUGUAACUUGAGGCAGUUCCAUGUGAAUAACUACUAAUGUCUCUGUUCAGGUGGGUGGAACUUGAAGGUAACCACAGUGUCUGUUCCUGCUGUGACUCUGUGUGCAUAAAUGAAGAUGUGACUUUGCC